CAGAGUCUUACGAUUUUGUAAUUGGAAUGAACUAAGUUUACAACCCUUUAUAAGUAACAAUUGGAGGGCAAGUCUGGUGCCAGCAGCCGCGGUAAUUCCAGCUCCAAUAGCGUAUAUUAAAGUUGUUGCAGUUAAAAAGCUCGUAGUUGGAUUUCAGUCAAAUGUAUAUUUUACUUUUUCGAAAGUUAUUAUAUCAUUGACUUUUCCCAUCCCAUACAUUUGUAUAGGGAUGGAUUUUACUUUGAGAAAAUUAGAGUGCUUAAAGCAGGUUAUCGCCUUAAAUACUCCAGCAUGGAAUAAUAAGAAAUGACUUUUAUUUUUCUUAUUGGUUCUAAAAUAAAAGUAAUGAUAAAUAGGAACAGUUGGGGGCAUUUGUAUUCAACAGUCAGAGGUGAAAUUCUUAGAUUUGUUGAAGACAAACUACUGCGAAAGCAUUUGCCAAGGAUGUUUCCAUUAAUCAAGAACGAAAGUUAGGGGAUCGAAGACGAUCAGAUACCGUCGUAGUCUUAACCAUAAACUAUGCCGACUAGAGAUUGGAGGUUGUUCCUAUACUCCUUA
RNAcentral lists this ribosomal RNA (558 nucleotides) under Cryptosporidium sp. piscine genotype 7. RNAcentral describes it as "bacterial SSU rRNA". It matches the Rfam family "Eukaryotic small subunit ribosomal RNA", at positions 486 to 1076 of the family's 1831-position model. Lineage: Eukaryota; Apicomplexa; Conoidasida; Eucoccidiorida; Cryptosporidiidae. The record is from RNAcentral.